This 68-nucleotide transfer RNA is filed under the name Choroterpes yixingensis. Its description in RNAcentral is "tRNA-Glu". The record is from RNAcentral. Lineage: Eukaryota; Metazoa; Arthropoda; Insecta; Ephemeroptera; Leptophlebiidae.
AUUCUUGUAGUUUACUUAAAACGUUACACUUUCUCUGUAAAAAUAGCUAUUUUAUUAGCUUAAGAAUA